This 774-nucleotide ribosomal RNA is filed under the name uncultured Neocallimastigales. Its description in RNAcentral is "partial large subunit ribosomal RNA". It matches the Rfam family "Eukaryotic large subunit ribosomal RNA", at positions 24 to 634 of the family's 3401-position model. Lineage: Eukaryota; Fungi; Neocallimastigomycota; Neocallimastigomycetes; Neocallimastigales. The record is from RNAcentral.
UAUCUCUGUAGAGUCUGCAUAUCAAUAAGCGGAGGAAAAGAAACUAACUAGGAUUCCCUCAGUAACGGCGAGUGAAGCGGGAAGAGCUCAAAUUUGAAAUCUUCAAGGUUCUACCUUGACGAAUUGUAGUUUAAAGAAGUGUUUUCUGUUGGAGUUUUGGUAAAAGUUCUUUGGAAUAGGACAUCAUAGAGGGUGAGAAUCCCGUAUUUGACCAUUAUUUCCAGCUUUGUGAUACACUUUCAAAGAGUCGGAUUGUUUGGGAAUGCAGUCCAAAAUGGGUGGUAAAUUUCAUCUAAAGCUAAAUAUUGGCGAGAGACCGAUAGCGAACAAGUACCGUGAGGGAAAGAUGAAAAGAACUUUGAAAAGAGAGUUAAACAGUACGUGAAAUUGUCAAAAGGGAAGCGUUUGACACCAGUGUUGUUUUCUCGAAAAUCAAUUAAAAAAAGUUGGAUUUUGUAUUGUUAAGACCUUAUCAGCUUACUGUACUCUUUUCUUGCUUUUUUUAAUGCACUUUUCGUUUAACAAGUCAACAUCAAUUUCUUUUGUUGUAAAAGAGUCAUUGGAAGGUGGCUUUCACUUCGGUGAAAGUGUUUAUAGCCUUUGGCUUCUGCAAUCGGAGAGAUUGAGGUCUGCAGCGUAGAUCCUUCGGGGCUAGAUACGUAGAUGCUAAGUUAUAGUUUUUUAUAGACAACUUGUUGACUAUAAUUAAUCAUGUAGCUUACUCGUUUGCGCUAUUUUACCUACGCUUAGGAUGUUGACGAUCAGCUGAGCGCG